This 200-nucleotide ribosomal RNA is filed under the name uncultured bacterium. RNAcentral's name for it is "partial 16S ribosomal RNA". It matches the Rfam family "Bacterial small subunit ribosomal RNA", at positions 524 to 723 of the family's 1533-position model. The record is from RNAcentral.
UACGUAGGUGGCAAGCGUUAUCCGGAAUUACUGGGCGUAAAGCGCACGCAGGUGGUUAUGUAAGUCUGAUGUGAAAGCUCUUGGCUUAACUGAGAGAGGUCGUUGGAAACUGCAUAGCUUGAGGUAAUGAGAGGGGUGUGGAAUUCCCGGUGUAGUGGUGGAAUGCGUAGAUAUCGGGGGGAACACCAGUGGCGAAAGCG